GGAAACGGUCACUUUUUUUUUGGAAACAUACGCGUGGCUGCACGAAAAUUAUCAGAACAAAUAAAAUUACAAAAUUGUGGUCGUCAUGUCAACUCUGGUCGUUUCUCUUCAUGGAAUAAUAGAUUAACACACACUCCAUGCUGUUUAGUAGGCCACUGCCAGCCAUCGUAGCCAAAAGAGAUAUAUGCCAGUUUUGCUUAAUUGUCUUCGUAUCACCAGCAAUCUCAGUAUCACCACUUGGAUAAACAGCAUACCGGUUGAUUGGAAAAACUACCGAUGUCGGAGUAGAGUUACGGAUUUCUUCAUUCCCUUUCUUUUCCACGUGCAGCCCAUGUGAUUGUGGGUGUAUUCACGAGGACGUCAUUUUCUCCAUAUCCCGCCUGGUGGAUUCAACUAUUCUUCGGAUGGAGCCCUUGUGGAUGUCUGGCUGUAUUUCCCAGGCUUAAAGGUAGGGCAAAUUGAUCUCUAUUCUUCCUUUUGAGUAUUUGGUUGCGUUGAUUGUACUAA
This is a long non-coding RNA of Daphnia pulicaria, 507 nucleotides long. RefSeq lists it as uncharacterized. The record is from RefSeq and is a predicted model, not a curated record. Lineage: Eukaryota; Metazoa; Arthropoda; Branchiopoda; Diplostraca; Daphniidae. The transcript has 3 exons.